UUUUUUUAUUGUGUAAGUGAUUUUUUUAAUUGAUUAUUUGAAUUUAAAAAUAUUAUCACUAAAGCCGAUAAAAUUAUAUACACAAAAUUUCCUUUCUUAAUAAUAGUAUAAAUAAUUGAAUGUAUUCCCUCUAUUCCAAAAUAAAUAAAGAACUUUUCUUUUUAAUACUUAUUUCAAUAUAAUUGAAUGUGUACAUUUUUAAACACAACAGCUACCUAAUUAAAUAAUUUGUCUUUAUUUCAAAAUAAUUAAACAAUUCUGUUUAAAAUAAUAGUUACAUAAUUAAAUAACGUUUCCUUUUGCAAAAAAGUUUAAAUAAUUUAAAAUUAGUGAUUACAUAAUUUGCUUAAUACUAUUUUUAUAAUAAUAUAUGUAUAUAUAUAUAUAUAUAUAUAGGGGUUUGCUAACUUGCGUACGCCUGUUUUUCAGUUGGUACAUUUUAGCAAUGUGUACCUGGUUUCAGUAGACAAAAAUACCCUUAUAUCAUGAAUUCUAAGUUUUAAGAUUAAGGAUAUUUUAAUAAUUUUCAUUCUAAAAAUUAAAAAAAUAAAAAAAGAAACCCCCAAAACCCUUACCCACCUCUCUCAUUCCUCUCAACCCUUUCUCUUUCAUUUCAACCUUUUCUCUGUCAUCUCUACUCUAAUCCCAAUUGAAGAAAAUCAGAAACACUUGCCUUAUUUUAAUAACUUUCAUUCUCAAAACUAAAAUAGAAACCUCAAACCCUUACUCACCUCCUUCAUUCCUCUUAACCAUUUCUCCUUCAUCUCUCNCAGUCAAACAUUUUCUCUGUCAUCUUUACACUAGCCCCAACUAAAAAAAUACUCAUUGUAAAGAGUUGAGUCAUUGACAUAUUCACCUUCCGAAAAAAGUUCAUUCAAACUCUCUUUAAUUUCAUUAUCUUCANUAUAUAUAUUACCGCUGACGGGCACAACUUGCACCAAGACUUAUGAACAUCCUUCUUUUACAUUCUGAGACUACUACGUAACAUUGCUCCGUGGCCAUUUAAUUUUUUUUGGUAGAAAUUCAUUAACUUGUUUUCCUUUACUAAAGAAAAAAUAAAUCAAAAUACAAUAAAAUUCUCAAAAAUAAAAUCAAACAAUAAAAAUUCUAAAUCUUGAAAUUUUAUUUAAAAUUAUAUAAAGAAAAAAUUAGGUGCUUUAAUUUUUUUAUUUAUGUAAGUAUUUUUUUCUCUAAUCAUUUUAUUUAAUAAUGAGUGUUUUUUUUAGUUGGGGUUAGUGCAGAGAUGACAGAGAAAAAUGUUUGAGUGAAAGAGAUGAAGGAGAAAGGGUUGAGAGGAAUGAAAGAUGUGAGUAAAGGUUUGAGUUUUUUUUUAGUUUUGAGAAUGAAAAUUAUUAAAAUAAGGCAAGUACUUCUGAUUUUUUUCAAUUGGGCUAGAGUAGGGAUGACAGAGAAAAAGUUGUUGGAGUGAAAGAGAUGAAACAGAAAGCUUUGAGAGGAAUGAGAGAGGUGAGUAAGGGUUUGAGGGGCUUAUUUUUUUAUUUUUUUAAUUUUGAGAAUGAAAAUUAUUAAAAUAUCCUUAACCUUAAAACUUAGAAUUCAAUAUAUAAGGGUAUUUUUGUCUAUUGAAAUCCGGUACACAUUGCUAAAAUGUACCAACUGAAAAAUAGGCGUACAAGUUAGCAAACCCCAUAUAUAUAUAUAUAUAUAUAUAUAUAUAUAUAUAUAUUUAAAUUAUAUUAUUAAUGUAAUAAUAAUUAAAUUACAUAUAUUUUAAUAUGAUAAAAAUGUGAACUAUGCAAAAUUUUUAUUAAAUUUUAAAAUAAAUUUUAAUUAUUAAAAUAAAAUAUUAAUGAACUAUAAAAUAUUUUUUUAAAAUAUAUUUAGAACAAAAAAUAAUUUAAUAAUUUUAAUAUAAGCAAUUCUUUUAUGAUAUAGCUAAUGUUUUUAUUAUGAAUAAUUAUUUAAAUUUAAAAAUAUUUAUUAAAAAGUAAAUGUAAAAGAUAUAUUUUUUAUUUUAAACUUUUUUAUGAUAAAAAAAUAAUUAUAAGAGUAAAUAUAAAAUUUUUACAAUUUUAUUAUAAAUUAUUAUUUUAAUUGAAAAAAUUAUAUUUAAAAGAAUAAACAAGUAAAAAAGAUUAAUUUAAAAAAAAAAAUUAAAGAGUGAAAAUGAUAUUUUAAAAAAUAGAUAUUUAAGUCCAAAAUAAUUUUUUUUAUAUAAUAAAUAUAGAUAAUUAUUUAAAUUUAAAAAAUUAAUCAUAAAAAGAUAUAAAAUCUAAAGAAAUCAUAGACACCAAAAUGAAAUUAAAAGAUAUAUAAAUAAAAAAUAAAAAUCAGCACUAUAUAUAACAUCAAAUCGAAAUGCUAUACAUCCUUUAGGGCUUCAGGUUUUUUAUAUCUCAGCCUUCCUCUCCGCUGGAACCCGCCACCAUCUCCCUCAGGUUUCUUUUGUUCCAAAACUCUUACCUUUCUCUCUGUGGUUUUGAAACCCUAAGGUUGACACUUACUCACUGUGUGUGCAGAGAUGGCAGAAGAGAAUCCAAAGCCUCUGAAUUACAUCCCCGAGGUUAUACUCAAGAAGCGCAAAAGCAGGGAAGCAUGGGCGUUGAGAAAGAAAGAGCAAUUCCAGCACAAGAAUUUUCAAUCCAUCAAGAAGCCCGAGGAUUUCAUCCACGAGUAUCGCAACCAGGUAACUAACCAAAUGACUAAAUUUUCCGUCACACGUUUAUCCGAACCUAAUAUGCUUUAUUCACAAACAGUUUUUGUGAUAAGUUGCGAAACCUUAUGGUUUAUGUGUGUUUAUAGGAAGUGGAUCUCAUUAGGAUGAAGCGAAGGGUGAAGAGGAAACUUCCUCAAGUUCACUCCAACGUAUUGAUAAUCAUUCGUAUACAGGGGUAGGUACAGUUCCUUGUUUUUCUUUUUGACUUAAUUAUAUCUCGGUUCCUACAUUUUUACAUAUAUUUUUUCUUUUGUGUUUUAGUUCAUUCACUCAAAAACUGCAUACCUUUUCAAUGUGUUCCUGCCCUCCUAAAUUGGAGGGGGUAAAACUGAUAAUAAAUGAAUUUGAAAGUUGUAAAGAUUAAAAAUUUUAGGUGUAGGGAGUUAAACUAAAAGGGAUAAAAAGUGUAUGUUUAUACUAAAAUGAGUAGUUACUGAGUGUAGAGAAUAGAGUAUAAAGACUAUGCAUGUACAGGGGCCAAAUAGGUAGUUAAACCUAUUUUUUUGUUUUUCUUGUAUAUUUGAUGCUUUUAAACUGAGAAUUGAAUUAGUGAUGAUAUGUCUGUUAUUUUCGGUUGGAUUAGGAAAAAAGACAUGCAUCCAAAAACAAGGAAGGUGCUGUACAGCUUGGGUUUGAGGAGUAUGUUCAGUGCUGUUCUUGUGAAGCCAAGUGAGGGAAUAAUGGCCAAACUGCAGAGGGUGGAACCAUAUGUGACCUAUGGGUAUGAUAUUAAUUUAUGUUUUUGAUUUUGUGCAUUAUAUGUUUGGUGCUAGCAAGGGACUUGGUGGGUUUUUAGGACUUACGGAGUUGAAAGAAAAGUGGGGAAAAGUGGGGAAAGUCUGCGGGUUGCAUGUAUUGAUUGAGACCAGUAAUGUUCAUGGGCAAACUAAGUGUUAGUAGCCAUUUGGAUGGGUUUAUUUAUUUAUUUACAUUUAUCUUACUUGAAAAAGAGAAUGAUUUUAUUAUUUUCAUUCAUAUCAAUUACAUUCUCUUUACCUUUAUUUGUAGCAAUCUAAUCUAAAAAGAGAAAAUAAGGCAACAAUAUACUAAAAAAUAAUCUAGAAGAUCAUAUGAUCAUACUUAUAUUUUCUGUAAUUAGAAAGAUUCUAUAAAUAUUUUCUCUAAUUAAGAAGAUUCUAUAAAUAUUUUUUCUAAUUAGGAAGAUUUUAUAAAUAUUUUCUCUAAUUAAGAAGAUUUUAUAGAUAUUUCCUCUAAUUACAACAAUCUUGCUGUAUAAAUAUGUGUAUAAGUGUUUGGGGCUGAUGAAAAAUAUCUUAUGAUAUGUCCAUGAGUUGUUUUCAGCUAUUUACAACAAUUUUUCCAGGAUGACCUGUGAAAAAAAUACAAUUAUUUGCAAAAUGUUUAAUGUUAUUUUGAGUUUAAUUGUAGAAACAUGAACUGUAGAAACUUGUACAUACAGACUUGUGUCUGCAAGUUAUUUGGGAAAGAAAAAUGCUAAGCAAGUUGAUUAUGUACCAACUCAACUAAUAAAUCUGUUUGUUUGUGUAUGACACUUGGCAAAUGUAUUUCACCCUAUAUGGAAUGUGUAGAAUGCAUUGGAGGAAUAGUACUACCCUAUACAACUUUUUUUUUCUUAUGUUUAUACUCCUGUGUAUGUUGUGUUCAUUGCUAAAGGAAAAGAAAUCACUUGUCACUUGAGUUGCUCUUUAUUUUGUGAAUGUGUCUUUUGAAGGUAUCCAAACCUUAAAAGCAUAAAGGAGCUAAUUUACAAGAAAGGACUCGCCAGGAUGGAUGGGCGGAAAGUUCCCUUAACAGAUAAUAGCAUUAUUGAACAGGUAAUAUAUGGAGUUCCUGGAUCCCUGGUUUUUUAUUAUCGUUUCUCCCUAGCAUUUUGUAAAUUUUCCAAUUUUUCUCAUGCAGGAAUUAGGAAAAUUUGGUGUUGUCUGCAUAGAGGACAUGGUGCAUCAGCUAUAUAAUGCUGGUCCCCACUUUAAGGAAGUUGUCAGAUUUAUGUGGCCCUUUGUACUCAACAAGCCAGCUGAAGGAUUGAAAGGAUCAAAAACCCUAUUCAAGGAGGGUGGAGACACUGGGAACCGUGAGGAUCUCAUCAAUGAACUGAUCGAUAAAAUGAAUUAGUGGCUGUUGUAGUCUCAAAAUUUUGAUGUGUACUAUUUCGAUAGGAUGAUCCUAUGUCCAAGCAUCUCAGUUUUUAAGUAACUGAUUUAUUACCUAGAAAACGGAUCUUUAUAGUCUUAGAUAAUUGCAUGUAUCUCUUAGGCAUUUGGAGAAGAAAGGGAUAGCAGCAUGGUAUGCACAGGGGCUUGAAUUAGUGAAUUCUCAAUAUAUUUUAAAUCUCAGGAAUGAUGAUUGAAGUUUGAAUGAAAUUUUCUUUAUAGAAUCAAAGUUCCUUAUUCUUGCUUGUGAUGAUUUAUGAUUUGAAAAUCUAUCAUUUAGUAGGGUUUUUAACAGGAUUGUGUAUUUAUUGACUUAAUAUAUCAUCAACACUCAACUUCAUGAAAUACUUAAUGACAUCUGCACAAGAGUGCUUCAUAAUGGUAGGUUCUAAUGAUGUUCAGAUGGAUAGGAUUAAGCAAUUUUUAUUCUUUUGUAAUGAAACAAAAAACUCGACUUUUAACAAAGAAACCUUUUAUAGAAACCUUGAAGACAAUAGACUGUAAAUAUCGUAUAAUUAAAUUGAUGUUUCCACAGUAGACUGAUGAAACAUUUUCAGUUAAAGUUAGAUUCACCUUGCCAAUCUGUAAUAAAAGCUUGUAUAACAAAUUUGAAUCAGUGGCCAAGUGUUAUCGAAUUUAACUUGUAAAUGGGUUGUUCGAGCCUACCAAAUUUUUAAAUUAGAUUAUUUCAAGAACUGCUAUGUUAAACAUUUGCUGCAGUGCGAUAUCUGUACAUUUACUGUACCCACCAAUUUACAAAAGAAUAAUAUAUAUUACUGUGGUCACAAAUAAUAUAUAUUCUUAUAUAAUAAUACUAGUUAAAUUGGUUUGUGGUUUAAGCACUGAUCUACUUAAAUAACUAGUAACUCAUCAAUCAACCAGUAUAUGGACUGAAUCAAUUACCAAUUUUUUGGAACAUUGAUGUAUAUCAACGCAAGUGCCUCUGAAAUCAUUCUGCUAAUGAAAAUUUACAGAGAAAUAGGUUUACUUAAAAGGUUGGUUAUACUAAAUGUGUGUUUGGAGACACUGAUAUAUUAGAUUGUUAUAGCAUAGAUUUCUCUGGUGUUCUAAUUUUUCCAGAGCAAAAAAAAAAAAAUUGAGGAGAUUUAAAGUAUAAAGUUGAAUAUAUAUCUACAUAGCAUGCCCCAAGUUUCUCAAGAUGUAUUGUACAACUGCUAAACAAUGGUGAAUAUGUGAGAGAUAAUUUAAGGCAUACCACAAUGACAUUCUUCUCUAAAAGAAAACAUGUACAUGACCCUAAGCUGAGAGGCACUUCCUGUACAGGGAUUACGUGUUCAAUAUUUUCUUUGGCUUGAGAUGGAAGAAAUUAACCAGUACUGCUUCUAUAAGUUUGAUAAAUUUCAUCCACUUGCUCUGCUGGCACAUAAAUUGCAUCUUUUAGAAAGCUAUGAGUUCGGCCAUAAAAGACAUAAACUAGUAGUCCUGUUCCCAUCCAUAUAGAAACACGCAACCAUGUACCAUAUCUGAAACAAAGAUGAGUAAGAAUUAGAAAAUGCAAUUCCAUUAACAAAGUUUCAACAUUGAACUGCUGAUUCUGCAAAAUACUAUGAAUAUAUCUCAGUUUUAUCCAUUUGACUCUUCUCUGUUAUUUAGAAUGUUGGUUGAAUUAGACAGUUUAUUCUACAGCACGGACAUUCAAUUUUACAAACCAGAGAAACAAAUAUGAAAAGAAAAAUAUCGUGAACAUUUUCAGGGAAUGUAGUUCUUGAAUUGAAUUAAUAUUUUCAUUAUUCUAUUAUCAACCAAAGUUUUAAAAAAUGGUCCACGGUUAUAAUUUCGGUCACAUUUCUUCUAAAUUUCCUGCAAUAUCAAGUAUCCCCAUUAAACUAUGACCAGAACCAAAUGAGCAACUUGUUAUAAACAAUAAAUAUGAACCAGUGAGAAAGGAUAGUUCAGUAAGAGAAACCGAACAGGAGCUUUUCCAAUUAACAUCACACAAAAAAUAUCAGUUUUUAUUCAAUUAAAGUUCCUGCCAUUCUUACUAUUUACUAGAAUGAAGGUGAAAUUAUGUUUGUUAAAGCAGGCAGAGGAGAAAGAGAAUACUAGAUGUAUUCUGAUAUUAACUUCAUUAAAUAACAAUAAAAUUCUAAAAGUUAUUAGUCUUGAAAUCAAAAUACUUCCAUCAAUUUCAAGAUUUCCACACACAGCCUGAUGUAAAAGAAUACAUUUGAAAAGCGAGUUUGGUCAAACAAAAAGUAUAACAAAUUAAGUAUUAAUGCUUACCCAAGAUUAACAAGUAAGUAGGAAUUUAUGAGAAUGCAAGCUAUCGGAAGCAGUGGCACAAAUGGGCAAAUAAAACCUGAAAAAGAAUAAUGAUUGAAUUAUCUCUCUUAAGCUGAAUAGAAUUAAUGGUCAGCCUAUUUUUUACUGUUUGUUAUAAUUAUAUGCAACUCUUGUUCAAUAUACUCCAUGUGUGUGACACUAGAAGAUAUGCACCUCUGCAUUUGAAUGGAAUAAGACAACCAACACUACUCAUGAAUUUAUGUAACACAAGGAUAUUGUGGUAAGAUAUACCUCCAGUGUGCCCAAAGUCAUGUCUUGCGUCAUCUUGAUCUAUUCUGAUUAGGAAAACAAAACCACACAAAAGAAUAGCAGCUCCAACUCCACACAAUGCAAAGCGAACAGAACUGGCAAUAGCAUACAAAAAUGCUCAAAAAACUGGGAACCUCAUGCAAUCCUUAAAUGACACGAAAAACAACAGAUAAAGUGCAUAAAUUUAUUGAAGAGAUUAUCCUGUAACAGUAUUAUCAAACCUCUUCAAUUCUCAGGAUAAGGCCUAGUCCCUAAUAGCCCAUUUCCUUUCAUCUCAAACCAACCACCAAACUAUUUAGGGAACCUGAAUCCUUGAUUAGGUAUUGAGAAAUUUCCAUUGCAUGUGAAGCUUGAGAAAGGCUACAUAAUCUGCAAGUAGACUAACCUAGGAAGAGUGAAAUCUGAAGCUGCAUAUGUAAGGACAAACGCCCCUAAGAAGAUCAGUGAUAUGAUCCACCCAACAACUUUUCGCCUUUCAGCUUCAACUAUAUCUGUACCCAAAAUAAAUAAAUAAAUAAAUGCAUGAAGGAGAAAAUCAACAUAUGCCAAAUGACAGGAUUAUAACAAAUGAACCAAUGUUAGUUUCUUGAGCGACAUAGACUAUAUAUAAUGAACACUAAAUUGUAUUAUCCAUUAAAAAUAUUGGUAAAGGAGAAGGAAAGUGAUAACUCACGGUUUCCUCCAGAAAAAUGUUUGGUAAAAUCAACUGAAACAUCCUCCUUAACGAUCAAAGGCUUUGUGUGCUCAGAAGUAUUAGCAUCUACGUCUCCCACAUUUGUAUCUGAACUGCUCAAACUAUACCGCUUCAACACUGAAGCAAUUGAAUCCUUGAGAGAUGGAGGCAGCGGGACUUCAUUUGGAGGGACAUAUCUUAGGAUCAACACAGACAUUGCCACCAUGGUAAAUGCUAAAAGUGUACCCACACUAACCUGCAGGAGAAAAGUUAUAUACAUAUUAGUACAAAUAUCGACAUAUACAUAUUAGAACUACCUUAGGAAUACUUGAUGUCAACAGAGUAUGGAAUCAAAAAAGCGAAAAAAUAUUCUAGCCAUAUUGGAAAAAUAACCGACAUUCACGUCAACUAGAAAUAAUGUUAGAUACAAUAUGUAAGUAAAGCCACUUAUAAUUUUAUAAAUCGGUUUUGUAAGAUUAAAUUAGGUCAAAGAUACUUUGCAAGAUGAUAUUAGAACUGACCCUCAUAAGGGAUCACUCACCAUUAUAUACACUUACUAUGACCAGAGUUGGACAUAUGAGGGGCAAUCCUGUCACAAAUUUUGUUGGUUAAGUUAGGUCUAAACUACUUUGUAAGAUGGUAUUCCAACCUAUGCCAGAUCUACUAAAAGGGUUACUCACCACCAUGUUAUAAACCAAGCCCAAUUGUGGGGCAAUCCUAUUGGACUAGACUGAUAUAAAAACUCGUCAUUUAACUUCUCCAAAGCAAGGUAUAAGUUGAUUUUAGCUUUUGGAGAAAAAAUAUUUCUCCUUCCUGUGAGUGUAAGGAAAAAUCUAUGUGAACUGAACCAAAGUAAAUUUAGUUACCGUACUAUUCAAGGAGAGUGAACUAAUAAUGGUGUUGGUAAAGAGUGUUAUUAGAGGAAUGUUAGUUGCUAUAACGCACUAUUUCAUUUAGCAACGAAACUUGUAUCCACUGAAUCUAAAAAUUGUAGCAACCAAGUUCCAGACUUACCAUCCCUGCCAAUUCAGAGACUUCCAUAGAAAAUGCCAAGCCUGCAGCCACAAUGCCAGUAACUAUUGUGCCCUUAACAGGAACCUGAGUCUUCUUAUUUAUAUCAGCACAAAAAGGUGGCAGCAAUCCAUCUCUUGCCAUAGACAUCAAAAUUCGUGGCUGAGAAACAUUUAACAAAACACAAUGGUAACUUUGCCUGUUAACUCAAUACUUCAGAAAAAAAAAGGGGGGGACAAAGUUUGUGAUAACUGCUGGUACAAGCAAUCAUAGAAUGAAGCACGAAAGAAACGCAGCAUAUAUUUGAAUAUGAUGAUUCGAAUGAAAUUCAGUACACUGCACCUUGGUCUUCUAGUUCAUUACAUAAUUCUCUUAAGAAUCAAGCUUAGUGGUUAAAAAAUAUCAAUAAAAUUAAACUUUUAAUGAAAAUCACAGUGAGGGUGCCUUGGAAAUAAUAUCAGAAAUUGAGACGUUUCUGUUUGCUCAGUCUUUUCAGGUUGAAUUUAAUUAUAAACCUUGUCUUGUGGAAAAGUUAGGUGUUUGGUCAGUGGUUAAGUAAAAAUGAGUGGUAGCAUAUUUACAUCUCUCUUGCAUGUAUUAAACCUUUUGUAAAAUAUAACCCACUGCACUAAACAGAUUUGAUAUCAUUGCUUUUCUCCCUUCUUCCAUCGUAUAUCUUCACAAGAAAAACCCUAUUCUCAGUUUCUUUCUGGAUUUACAACCUUUACAGUUUUUCUGAUUUAAUAACAAAAAUAGUGAGUUGCAUUGAUACAUUUUGCAUGAAAACUUUCCACUUUUGGUUUCUUAACCAGUAUUCCAAGGGAAUUUAUUAACAUUCUCUUUGAAAUAAUUAAGUCACAUAAAUCCCAAAUUAAGACCCACAAGUACUAAUACGUACAAAUACCCUUUUAUCUCUCAAACUAAAACAGCUCAUAAACAAAAAGGUGUGUCAAUUUGUCUUGUUAGGUACAUCCUUAAUAUGAGAAUAUAGAGUUUGCCGUGUGUUCAAUACAAAACUUACACAUCCCCAGAAUAACGAAGAUUUAUAUUUACCCAUAAAAGUGAUACUUUAAAGUACUUCAAUAGUUUAUAAUUUUAACCAUACAUUAAAAAAAAUACAGGAGAACAACUUUGGCCUAAUAAAGAGUAAGCACAUAUGAAAUAUAUUAAAUUCACAGCAGAAAAAUAAGAGAAUAAACAAUUACAGAGGUGACAAACCCACCUGGGUUUAGAUUAACUUACCUGGGGAAGUAUCCCACCCAACAAUGCUGAACAGAGAGCUGUGCAAGCACCAGCAUUUAUAAUGUAACUGCAAUCACAAACAAGAAAUUUGUCUAUGGUGACAUAACAUCUACAUAGAUUAAGAAACUAAAAUUUGAUGAAGAAUCAGAUGCAAAAUUGUAAUGUCUAAACUUACGCUGCCCAUUCCAUUCCUUGUUCAGCAAAUGCAGAAGAUAUUGGUGUAUCCGGUUCAAUUGCAUAAUAAGGUACUAAACCAACUACAACAAGGGACACCAUCAUAUAUAUCCCACAGCAAAGAAACAAUGCACCUGCAAUACCUAGGGGUAAAUCUCGUUGAGGAUUUUUCACCUGUUUCAUCAAGUGAAACAUUAUCAGCAAGUUCGAACAAUUGAGCAUCCUCAAGCAUGCAUAUAUGUUUGGUGUAAAUUAUUUUGGAGAAAUAAUUGCCUCUUUUUGGGUAAAUACUUUUUGUUUCUGGUGAACUCAAGCUAUCCCAGUUGGGAGCCAAGGAUUAAUCUUCCGAAAUAUUGAGAUUCAUAUAUGAAGUUCAUAUCAGACAAAUGCUUUUCUAUACAUACGGAGCUCUCAGGACUAAACUUCUGAUCACAUAAUCAAAGAACAAAAUUAUCUGUCAAUAACAUACUAGGUUUGAAACCUAGUUAAAUUUUUAUCUCUCAAAAUGCUUUUAGUUUCUAAAUAAAAUUAUUUGGUUGUAGUUCUUAAAUGUAACAGAAACAUUAGUAUUUUCCCUACAGACAAAAUAUAUAUGUUGAGACCAAAAUUAUCUUUUUGUUAUUAAGAAAAUUGAGCUGACAAAAUAAUAUAAACUGAACCAAUAAACUGACACUAUCAUUAUUACCUCUUCAGCAGUGCUGGCAACUGCAUCAAAGCCUAUGUAUGCAAAGAAUACUGUGGCAGAACCAGCUAGUAUCCCAUUAAAACCAAAGGGAAAAAGUCUGUGAAAGCAAAAGAGACAAGCCUUAGGUAAUUAGAGACCAAACAUAUAACAUAGGAGAAGUGCAAAAGCAAAAAUUUAAAGUACCAAUCAGGAGUUUUGUCAAAUGAAACAGUACCCCAUAGGAAGAUCAUAUCCAAGCCAACCAGACUUGAAUCCCAUGUAACCACCAGCUACUAUGACAAAAAGCAAUGCACAUAUAUUCACUGCUGUCACUAUUCCUUGUACCACUGUACUCUGCAUGUAUUAAGCACUCUAAAUUUUUGGAUAUUUUAGCUUAGAAAACAAAUAAAGAACAGUGACAGGGUGAAUAUGUUCAUUGUGCAAAGCUCACGGUUCACAUACAAAGGAUCCAUGCAGUAUCUUAAACGAACAGAAAGAAAACAAUAUCACUCAUAUAUACAAAGAAGAAAUAUUAGUAUACGAACUCCUAUAUUACAUCAAUUUUUCAAAUAAUACUUUGUAAUAAAACAUUUUAUACUUUGUAAAUUUCUGUAUUUUCAGUAACUUUAUUUUACAAAAUGUCUACUCGUGUAAAGAUUUAUAAAUAAGCCUUUGUUAGCUGAUCAUUACUAAAAUUUGGUUAGUUUUUACUUUUUAUAAUCACAAUAGCCUAUACUGAAGGACUUAGGUAGAUCAUGUAAAUUUAAUUCCUAGAUAAAAGUAGAUAAAAGUAAGAAAAUUGAAUAGGUCAUUGUGAUUUAGUAAAAGCUUGUAAUAAUAGAAAAUUACCUCCUUGAUGCCCAGACACAAGAGUCCUGUAACAAGUAAUACCAAGAUUGCUGCACAUGGGUCUACAACUAUAUCCAUUCCAGAAAUAUGGUACCGCGAUAUGAACACUGGUAAAUUCUCCUUACCAAAAAGUGCAGUCUAAUCACACAUUUCAUUCAUGUCAGUGUUUGAAAUCACCUUUUCUUGCAAUUGGUUAAGCUAAAAGCAAGCAAAACAUUCUAUACAAAUUCUCAAAUUCAUAAACCUGACAACCAAAAAACUGAACUAACAACGCACCAAAUUGGGGGUUACGCCACGAGCAACAGCAGCACUGCCAAUUGUAUAUUCCAAAAUCAAGGACCAACCAAUCAACCAAGCAACACUGAAAGUAAAAGUAACCAUCAUUACUAUGAAUGUGAGAAGAAAAGAAACCGCCAAAUAAGGCUGCUAACACUGAAUGAUGCAAUUAGACAAUGGAAAAGAAAAACAAGAAUGAUACUUAAAGGACAUAGAUGUUAUAUAAAUUGGUAUACAACGUUAAAACAUAAAAAAGAGUACCCUUCUCCAAUACAUAUGUAUGAAUAGUGAUAUGCACUCCCUGCAGAAGGGCAUCUACUAGCCAACUCUGCAUAACAAAAGGCAGAAAGACCAGCUGCUAAUCCAGCAAUCAGAAAAGAAAUGGCCAAAGCAGGUCCAGCAUGCUCCCGUGCAACUGUUCCCACCAGAACAUACACUCCAGCACCAAUUGUUGAACCAACACCUGAUCAUCAUAUACCAAUGUCAAACUCAAUUGCAAAACAAUUAAUGUGUGUUCAUUAGAAGCUAAAAAAUUAGGAAAAUAAACACACUAAUAUGUCUUAGGAAUCUUGGUGUCAGUUUGAAUCCCAAAGUGAGAAAAUUGAGCAAUAUAAGAAAAUGAAAGACUUCAAUUUUUUGUUUUGAAAUUGGUGCUGUAAUUUCUUUUAUAAAUUGGUUUAUAAUGAAAGUAACUUUAAUCAUAACUGUAGUAAAUAUAAUAUCACAGAGGAAUUUUCUUUGACUUUGGAAGACUGUGAAAACACAAUCAUGACAAAAAUAUAAAAUAAAAAAGGGAAGGAAUAUGUCGUUCUGCCAAUAAGAAAAGAGGAAAUCCGACAAAUGUACCAAUCAAGCGGUCAAACAUGAAGACAAACCAAACAUUUUUCCACAUCACCCGAAAAUUGUAACAAUUCCAGGAACGUAUCCCAGAUGAAAACAUGAUUAAAGAUGAGAUUUUUAAUUAAAAAAGAAGAAGAAGAAGAAGAAGAAGAAGAAGAAGGAGAGGAAAGGAAUUGAAUUAAUCACCAAUAGCAAUGAGAUGAGGAACAGUUAACUCCCUGGCAAGAGAAGGCUGAGAGUAAUUCCUACUUUGAGAAUCAACCUGCUUCCUCCUAGUUAAAAACUUGAAGGAACCCCCUGAACCAUUUUGUGAUUGUGAACCAAUUGAAACACCCAUCAAAGAAAAAAAAAAACACACACACACACAGACACGAAUAUUUGCUAGCUCAACCACAAAGCCAAGUCUCCCUUAAUGAAAAACAAAAUCAACUUUGUCCCAAGAUCAAAGUGCACAACACAAAGGUGGUGGUGGUGUGGCCAAAAUUAACUAAUGUCGUAUAAUUCUCCUUGCUCUGUUGAUGGGGUUGUUGUCGUUAUGGAUAAAAGUGGCAAAAUAAGAAUCUGAAAUCGAAAUUGUUUGCGUCUUUCCUUGCUUGAUGGUGGUGACCAAUGCUGACAGAUUGACAAAAACGAAUGAAAGGGUAAAGGAAUGCUUAACGCCAAAUGGUAACGCUAUAAAAGGUAUCAUUGAGAAAGUAGGGGCAAUUAUAUAUAGUAAUUGUUUGCGUCUUUCCUUGCAUGUCAGCUAUCUUAUGUUUAUAGUUAACUCAAAACGUAUGGAUAUGUUUAAAAAAUAUAUGGGAGUCUGUCAGACAACCCUGCGACCAUCCCAAUUCGCUAGAACGGGAACGAUCCUCUACAGGAGGUGAUGAACACAGUCCGUAAACUGAGUCAACACUACCGUUAAUCACGCUCUGAUCACAGGGUCAUGGUUCAUCCACCAGACUUCAGUUCCUGUCUCCUUAGAACUUAAGGAUACAGAGGUACGAGCCUAUAGAACAGAUCCUGUUCAAGUAAGGUCGUGGCCAGAGCUAUCUGAUUCGCGUUUAUA
RNAcentral lists this long non-coding RNA (14145 nucleotides) under Vigna radiata. RNAcentral describes it as "long non-coding RNA (VRAD_LNC017993)". Lineage: Eukaryota; Viridiplantae; Streptophyta; Magnoliopsida; Fabales; Fabaceae. The record is from RNAcentral.